Pelobates cultripes (western spadefoot toad) is the source of this 455-nucleotide non-coding RNA. NCBI's taxonomy places the organism in Eukaryota, Metazoa, Chordata, Amphibia, Anura, Pelobatidae. The record is from the annotation of a GenBank genome assembly.
GUUACUAACCCUAGUUAUAAUGUUAACAGCAAUCUUAGAGAGUAUCAUAUAACACAAAUUAUAGUGGAUACAUUAAUCAUAAAGGGGAUAAAUUGGGGAACAGUAGGACACAAUAAGGGUGGGGAAGUGAAGGUCUUGUUGAAUGUAGAGGAAGAGAUAGAGCCUACAAUCCUGACUCCUCCUUUCACCUAUAUUCAUACAACUCCUUCACUAAUGGAUAAUGGGAGCAGACCUGAGUGUUAGGAGAUUAGAGUGGUCUCUAGUGGUAAUUUCCCAAUAUGUAUACUGAGACCUACCCCUAUAGUCAGGAAUAUUACUUUCCAAUUGAUUCGACUAACAGAUUGGCUAGUUUAAUCACACUUUCAGAACUGUUCUAGGGUCACAUCCACUAUUAAUAAGGUUUUAGUCAGAUGGGUGACAAGAAGUAGAACUAGGAAUAGGAGGGUUGUCUUGGG